AGACCUACGGGACGCAGCAGUGAGGAAUAUUGGUCAAUGGGCGGGAGCCUGAACCAGCCAAGUCGCGUGAGGGAAGACGGUCCUAUGGAUUGUAAACCUCUUUAGGCGGGGAGCAAUGCCGGGCACGUGUGCCCGGAGGGAGAGUACCCGCAGAAUAAGCAUCGGCUAACUCCGUGCCAGCAGCCGCGGUAAUACGGAGGAUGCGAGCGUUAUCCGGAUUUAUUGGGCGUAAAGCGAGUGCAGGCGGUUCAAUAAGUCUGGUGUGAAAGCCUUCGGCUCCACCGGCGAAUUG
RNAcentral lists this ribosomal RNA (292 nucleotides) under uncultured bacterium. Its description in RNAcentral is "partial 16S ribosomal RNA". It matches the Rfam family "Bacterial small subunit ribosomal RNA", at positions 335 to 623 of the family's 1533-position model. The record is from RNAcentral.